RNAcentral lists this ribosomal RNA (388 nucleotides) under uncultured bacterium. RNAcentral's name for it is "bacterial SSU rRNA". It matches the Rfam family "Bacterial small subunit ribosomal RNA", at positions 28 to 417 of the family's 1533-position model. The record is from RNAcentral.
GACGAACGCUGGCGGCGUGCUUAACACAUGCAAGUCGAGCGGUAGGGCCCUUUCGGGGGUACACGAGCGGCGAACGGGUGAGUAACACGUGGGUGACCUGCCCUCAGCUCUGGGAUAAGCCUGGGAAACUGGGUCUAAUACCGGAUAUGACUCCAUGACGCAUGUUGUGGGGUGGAAAGCCUUGUGCGGCUGAGGAUGGGCCCGCGGCCUAUCAGCUUGUUGGUGGGGUGAUGGCCUACCAAGGCGACGACGGGUAGCCGGCCUGAGAGGGCGACCGGCCACACUGGGACUGAGACACGGCCCAGACUCCUACGGGAGGCAGCAGUGGGGAAUCUUGCGCAAUGGGCGAAAGCCUGACGCAGCGACGCCGCGUGAGGGAUGACGGCCU